RNAcentral lists this ribosomal RNA (497 nucleotides) under uncultured bacterium. Its description in RNAcentral is "partial 16S ribosomal RNA". It matches the Rfam family "Bacterial small subunit ribosomal RNA", at positions 28 to 507 of the family's 1533-position model. The record is from RNAcentral.
GAUGAACGCUGGCGGCGUGCCUAAUACAUGCAAGUCGAGCGAACAGACGAGGAGCUUGCUCCUCUGACGUUAGCGGCGGACGGGUGAGUAACACGUGGAUAACCUACCUAUAAGACUGGGAUAACUUCGGGAAACCGGAGCUAAUACCGGAUAAUAUACUGAACCGCAUGGUUCCAUAGUGAAAGACGGUUUUGCUGUCACUUAUAGAUGGAUCCGCGCCGCAUUAGCUAGUUGGUAAGGUAACGGCUGACCAAGGCAACGAUGCGUAGCCGACCUGAGCGGGUGAUCGGCCACACUAGAACUGAGACACGGUCCAGACUCCUACGGGAGGCAGCAGUAUGGAAUCUACCGCAAUGGGCGAAAGCCUGACGGAGCAACGCCGCGUGAGUGAUGAAGGUCUUCGGUUCGGAAAGCGCUGUUAUUAGGGAAGAACAAAUGUGUAAGUAACUAUGCACGUCUUGACGGUACCUAAUCAGAAAGCCACGGCUAACUACGUG